This 228-nucleotide long non-coding RNA is filed under the name Gossypium raimondii (Peruvian cotton). Its description in RNAcentral is "long non-coding RNA (GRAI_LNC003313)". Lineage: Eukaryota; Viridiplantae; Streptophyta; Magnoliopsida; Malvales; Malvaceae. The record is from RNAcentral.
UCUAUUUUUUAUUUUUCAUGUUUUAAAGAUUUUCCUAAUUAGGUUAAUUACAUUAAGUGUUCUCAAACUAGGAUUUAGAUUUUAAAUUGGUCCUCAAAUUUUAAUAUGUUCUAAAUGAAUCUUUAAAAUAUCAGUAUCGCAUCAAUCAUAUUUUUCUAUUAGAUUAGUCAUCAACUUUGGUAUUAAAAGUUAUCUAUAUAAAAAGUAGAAAUGUAUUUAACAUUUGAU